Molecule: ribosomal RNA, 492 nt
Filed under: uncultured bacterium
Lineage: Bacteria
Description: partial 16S ribosomal RNA
Rfam family: Bacterial small subunit ribosomal RNA
Source: RNAcentral
AGUGAACGCUGGCGGUAGGCCUAACACAUGCAAGUCGAACGGCAGCACAGUAAGAGCUUGCUCUUACGGGUGGCGAGUGGCGGACGGGUGAGGAAUACAUCGGAAUCUACUUUUUCGUGGGGGAUAACGUAGGGAAACUUACGCUAAUACCGCAUACGACCUACGGGUGAAAGCAGGGGAUCUUCUGACCUUGCGCGAUUGAAUGAGCCGAUGUCGGAUUAGCUAGUUGGCGGGGUAAAGGCCCACCAAGGCGACGAUCCGUAGCUGGUCUGAGAGGAUGAUCAGCCACACUGGAACUGAGACACGGUCCAGACUCCUACGGGAGGAAGCAGUGGGGAAUAUUGGACAAUGGGCGCAAGCCUGAUCCAGCAAUACCGCGUGGGUGAAGAAGGCCUUCGGGUUGUAAAGCCCUUUUGUUGGGAAAGAAAAGCAGCAGGUUAAUACCCCGCUGUUAUGACGGUACCCAAAGAAUAAGCACCGGCUAACUUCGUG